UGAACGCUGGCGGCGUGCCUAAUACAUGCAAGUCGAGCGAACAGACGAGGAGCUUGCUCCUCUGACGUUAGCGGCGGACGGGUGAGUAACACGUGGAUAACCUACCUAUAAGACUGGGAUAACUUCGGGAAACCGGAGCUAAUACCGGAUAAUAUAUUGAACCGCAUGGUUCAAUAGUGAAAGACGGUUUUGCUGUCACUUAUAGAUGGAUCCGCGCCGCAUUAGCUAGUUGGUAAGGUAACGGCUUACCAAGGCAACGAUGCGUAGCCGACCUGAAAGGGUGAUCGGCCACACUGGAACUGAGACACGGUCCAGACUCCUACGGGAGGCAGCAGUAGGGAAUCUUCCGCAAUGGGCGAAAGCCUGACGGAGCAACGCCGCGUGAGUGAUGAAGGUCUUCGGAUCGUAAAACUCUGUUAUUAGGGAAGAACAAAUGUGUAAGUAACUAUGCACGUCUUGACGGUACCUAAUCAGAAAGCCACGGCUAACUACGUG
RNAcentral lists this ribosomal RNA (495 nucleotides) under uncultured bacterium. RNAcentral's name for it is "partial 16S ribosomal RNA". It matches the Rfam family "Bacterial small subunit ribosomal RNA", at positions 30 to 507 of the family's 1533-position model. The record is from RNAcentral.